AGCUUUGCGCAGUGGCAGUAUCGUAGCCAAUGAGGUUUAUCCGAGGCGCGAUUAUUGCUAAUUGAAACAAAUGAAGUUUAACAUGGUGAUCUGGGGUACCCUAUUUCUUUUGAUGGUGGAACUUACAGUUAUAUAAUAAAUAGAAUUUUUUAAAGAUUUUAUUUAUU
RNAcentral lists this small nuclear RNA (167 nucleotides) under Mustela putorius furo (domestic ferret). Its description in RNAcentral is "U4 spliceosomal RNA". It matches the Rfam family "U4 spliceosomal RNA". Rfam says of the family: U4 small nuclear RNA (U4 snRNA) is a component of the major U2-dependent spliceosome. The structure of U4 snRNA from yeast and human has been reported. The record is from Rfam by way of RNAcentral. Lineage: Eukaryota; Metazoa; Chordata; Mammalia; Carnivora; Mustelidae.